UGUGGUUAAUUCGAUGCAACGCGAAGAACCUUACCUGGUCUUGACAUCCCGGAGACCCUUAGGAAACUAGGGGUGCUUCCAUCUGGAAGAAUCUGGAGACAGGUGCUGCAUGGCUGUCGUCAGCUCGUGUCGUGAGAUGUUGGGUUAAGUCCCGCAACGAGCGCAACCCUUGCCUUUAGUUGCCAGCAGUUCGGCUGGGCACUCUAAAGGGACUGCCGGUGUUAAACCGGAGGAAGGUGGGGAUGACGUCAAGUCCUCAUGGCCUUUAGACCAGGGCUACACACGUACUACAAUGGCCGAUACAAAGGGCAGCGACACUGCGAGGUGAAGCCAAUCCCGUAAAAUCGGUCUCAGUCCGGAUUGGAGUCUGCAACUCGACUCCAUGAAGUUGGAAUCGCUAGUAAUCGUGGAUCAGCAUGCCACGGUGAAUACGUUCCCGGGCCUU
This 445-nucleotide ribosomal RNA is filed under the name uncultured Desulfobulbus sp. RNAcentral describes it as "bacterial SSU rRNA". It matches the Rfam family "Bacterial small subunit ribosomal RNA", at positions 940 to 1382 of the family's 1533-position model. Lineage: Bacteria; Pseudomonadati; Thermodesulfobacteriota; Desulfobulbia; Desulfobulbales; Desulfobulbaceae. The record is from RNAcentral.